This 253-nucleotide ribosomal RNA is filed under the name uncultured bacterium. RNAcentral's name for it is "partial 16S ribosomal RNA". It matches the Rfam family "Bacterial small subunit ribosomal RNA", at positions 524 to 776 of the family's 1533-position model. The record is from RNAcentral.
GACAGAGGGGGCAAGCGUUGUUCGGAAUUACUGGGCGUAAAGGGCGCGUAGGCGGCCGUUUGCGUCGGAUGUGAAAGCCCGGGGCUCAACCUCGGAACGGCAUUCGAUACGGGACGGCUGGAGACCGGGAGAGGAGAGUGGAAUAGCCAGUGUAGAGGUGAAAUUCGUAGAUAUUGGCUGGAACACCGGUGGCGAAAGCGGCUCUCUGGCCCGGUUCUGACGCUGAGGCGCGAAAGCGUGGGGAGCAAACAGG